GGGCGGACUGGGGCGGCUUGGACCCCCCCCCCCUCCCACCCACCCCACCCACCCACCCCUCCCCCACACCCCCGCCCCCUGCCCUUCCCGAGGGCAGCAGCCGUGGCCCGGAGAUAAGCGCUAGCGCGGCGCAGGGCUCUGCCUGGGCUAGUGGCACCGACUUGGGCAGAAACUCUUAAAAUCCUGGCAGCCAAGAGGGAAGUAACCUGGGGGAAAUGGACACAAGUCCAGGCAGUGAAGUGGGAUGCGCUGGGCUCAGUAGGAAAAGAAAACGCAGAGACCUGGGAAACGCGUGCUUUUCCCGUAGGAAAAAGAGCAGUUCCGCCCACCUAAAGGAACGGAGAAGACCCGCUGCCUGCGACGCUCUACACAUUCGAAAGGCAGCAACCUCCCUCAUGCCGCGGAAAGGCAAAAGGAUAGGAGAAACUGCAAGGCGGCGAGACUAGUUUCCUCAACGCAGAUCUGUGACUGACGACCGUUCCCGAACUCACAGUCUCCGCGGGCGCCGCAAACAGUCGACAGGGAGCGCGGCCCACGCAGCGGCCGCCGCACCCGUGGCCUCUACUUGCUUCUGCCCCGCUGCUCCGUGUAGGGGUUUGUUUGGAGCUCGCUCGAAAAAACAAACACGCUUCUCUGACACCCCCGGCCGCCCCCGCACGCACAUCUUUGGUCUCUGCAGCCGCCCCGCCUGCACAGUGCCGGCCGUUUUUCGGGGCGGACUCUUUGUCUGCCUGAAACCCCGCAUUCCCGGGGCGUGCAGCUCAAGAGAACCCAGCUCCAAAACGUCUCCGAGGUUAAAUAUUGACCAGAACCUCCUUCAAGGGGCUGCAGCUGCCUGGACGAGGAAACUCCUUCCAAAGGCCCGUGCAAAGCCCGGAGGAGUGAAGAGUUGGCGCAGCGCUUACCUCGAAAGAUGUUUAAGACUGAACCAGUGAUUGUCUCCAACUCCGGGCACUCAGGGAAUCGCCUUUUCCGGUGUCCUGGCGCUCUGCGGACAAAUAAACAGCAGAGAGUAAACGGUGGCUGCGAAGGAAGGGAGCUGGAGAACCGGAGUUGGAAGUGCGGCCCUGCGCGGGCGCCAGGGUGGCCCCCGGGGUGACGCGGACCCGGAGGAGUCGCCAGGGCACUCGUCCAUGAGGCGCACUCGUUGCUCGAAAGGGUCCAGUCUAAGAAUGGCCUGCAGAUGAUGAUUUAUUUUUGUAAAAUAAAUACAUACUCCAUCUCCGCA
Molecule: long non-coding RNA, 1228 nt
Organism: Neofelis nebulosa (Clouded leopard)
Lineage: Eukaryota; Metazoa; Chordata; Mammalia; Carnivora; Felidae
Exons: 3
Source: RefSeq, a predicted model, not a curated record